AUUGAACGCUGGCGGCAUGCUUUACACAUGCAAGUCGAACGGGGUUGGGAGCUUGCUUCCAAUCUAGUGGCGAACGGGUGAGUAAUACAUCGGAACGUACCGUGUAGUGGGGGAUAACGUAGCGAAAGUUACGCUAAUACCGCAUACGAUCCACGGAUGAAAGCAGGGGACCUUCGGGCCUUGUGCUAUACGAGCGGCCGAUGUCUGAUUAGCUAGUUGGUGAGGUAAAGGCUCACCAAGGCAACGAUCAGUAGCGGGUCUGAGAGGAUGAUCCGCCACACUGGGACUGAGACACGGCCCAGACUCCUACGGGAGGCAGCAGUGGGGAAUUUUGGACAAUGGGCGCAAGCCUGAUCCAGCCAUGCCGCGUGUCUGAAGAAGGCCUUCGGGUUGUAAGGACGUUUGUCAGGGAGCAAAUCCUGGUGGCUAAUAUCCACCGGGGAUGAGAGUACCUGAAGAAUAAGACACCGGCUAACUACGUGCCAGCAGCCGCGGUAAU
This 499-nucleotide ribosomal RNA is filed under the name uncultured bacterium. Its description in RNAcentral is "bacterial SSU rRNA". It matches the Rfam family "Bacterial small subunit ribosomal RNA", at positions 30 to 524 of the family's 1533-position model. The record is from RNAcentral.